This 1033-nucleotide long non-coding RNA is filed under the name Fragaria vesca (wild strawberry). RNAcentral describes it as "long non-coding RNA (FVES_LNC004213)". The record is from RNAcentral. Lineage: Eukaryota; Viridiplantae; Streptophyta; Magnoliopsida; Rosales; Rosaceae.
UUUUAUUACAUACUAUAGCCGACGAAUAUAUUAGGGUAUUCGUCGGCUAAACCCUAAACUUUUUCUGUUACAUACUAUAGCCCUAUCUUCGGUGGUUAUUUUGCGUAAAAUUUUUAUACGACUUAUUGUGUCUCAUCGAUUUGAAAAUAUUUUCAGUUGAAGGUUCGGCCAAAAUACGAAAUUUAGACGGUCCAACGACCUUCUCCUUGCAUUUAGGGGUUUGACUUACGAGAUUGACCGUCCGGAUCGAGCACUUAACCUUGUCAGAUCAAGUUGAAUUUUUUCCCAUACAUGUAUUUUAUCAUGAUGGUCAGAUCUAACCGUCGGAUUUCCUUUUCUCAAGUUUGAUCAUCACAAUCACAACAUUCUUACUAAUGUUGUAUAACUUGUUUACCAAGUGUUAAGUAAAUAUUCCGUUUCAAAAACAAAUUAUACGUAGAACCUUCAAACGUAAAAAAGUCGUGAAAUAAGACAUGACCAGAAUGGUGAAAUACGUCUAUGGUUGAAAAAUCACGGUAUUCCGGUCAUGUCUUGGUGCCGAUAGUUGCGGUCAAUGCAAUUUUUCAUUCUUUCUCCCUAUGGGUAGCCCUAUCUUCGGUGGUUAUUUUGCAUAAAAUUUUUAUAGGACUUGUUGCGUCUCAUCGGUUUGAAACUAUUUUCAGUUGAAGGUCCGGCCAAAAUACGUAAUUUAGACAGUCCAAUGACCUUUUCCGUGCGUUUAGGGGUUUGACUUAACGGAUUGACCGUCCGGAUCGAGCCCUUAACCUUGUCGGAUCAAGUUGAAUUUUUUCCCAUACAUGUAUUUCAUCAUGAUGGUCAGAUCUGACGGUCGGAUUUUCGUUCUAAAGUUUGAUCAUCACGAGCAGCAGUCACAGUUUGACGAAUGUAUAAAAAGUUAUAAAGCCGACGAAUUUAAAUGGUUAUAGCCGACGAAUUUUGUGUUUAGUCGACGAAUUUCAUAGGUUUAGCGGACGAAUUUCAAAGGUUUAGCCGACAAAUUUUAAUCUUAGCCGACGAUAUUAUUAUCUUUAGC